UCCUUCUUCCUCAGUUUUCUUCUUCAU
RNAcentral lists this small RNA (27 nucleotides) under Arabidopsis thaliana (thale cress). RNAcentral describes it as "ATSL134140". The record is from RNAcentral. Lineage: Eukaryota; Viridiplantae; Streptophyta; Magnoliopsida; Brassicales; Brassicaceae.